Molecule: long non-coding RNA, 250 nt
Organism: Pan paniscus (pygmy chimpanzee)
Lineage: Eukaryota; Metazoa; Chordata; Mammalia; Primates; Hominidae
Source: Ensembl
CCUCCCUUUCCUUCUAACAUGAGCUGCCUCUCCUGACCUCAGAUGGCCUUGAUGCCUGACUGCUGUGUCCUGCUGGAGGAAUGAGGGCUGUAGGGUUCUUUCCUGUGUCAGGAGGCUUCCUUGCAGCAUGUGCUGAUCAGUUCCCAUCUGAUCCACCAGCUGUACAGAGAGGUCCAGGAGGCAAGGCGCUGAGACUAUCUGUCUACAGCUCUACAUUUGCUGAUGACCAUGCCAGCUGCCCACUUGAGAG